Molecule: ribosomal RNA, 253 nt
Filed under: uncultured bacterium
Lineage: Bacteria
Description: partial 16S ribosomal RNA
Rfam family: Bacterial small subunit ribosomal RNA
Source: RNAcentral
UACGAAGGGGGCUAGCGUUGCUCGGAAUCACUGGGCGUAAAGGGUGCGUAGGCGGGUCUUUAAGUCAGGGGUGAAAUCCUAGAGCUCAACUCCAGAACUACCUUUGAUACUGAAGAUCUUGAGUUCGGGAGAGGUGAGUGGAACUGCGAGUGUAGAGGUGAAAUUCGUAGAUAUUCGCAAGAACACCAGUGGCGAAGGCGGCUCACUGGCCCGAUACUGACGCUGAGGCACGAAAGCGUGGGGAGCAAACAGG